RNAcentral lists this ribosomal RNA (253 nucleotides) under uncultured bacterium. Its description in RNAcentral is "partial 16S ribosomal RNA". It matches the Rfam family "Bacterial small subunit ribosomal RNA", at positions 524 to 776 of the family's 1533-position model. The record is from RNAcentral.
UACGAAGGGGGCUAGCGUUGUUCGGAAUUACUGGGCGUAAAGGGCGCGUAGGCGGAUCGGCAAGUCAGAAGUGAAAUCCCUGGGCUCAACCCAGGAAUUGCUUUUAAGACUGCCAGUCUUGAGUACAGGAGAGGUGAGUGGAAUUCCCAGUGUAGAGGUAAAAUUCGUAGAUAUUGGGAGGAACACCAGUGGCGAAGGCGGCUCACUGGCCUGUAACUGACGCUGAGGCGCGAAAGCGUGGGGAGCAAACAGG